AGCGAACGCUGGCGGCAGGCCUAACACAUGCAAGUCGAACGGACCCUUCGGGGUUAGUGGCGGACGGGUGAGUAACACGUGGGAACGUGCCUUUAGGUUCGGAAUAGCUCCUGGAAACGGGUGGUAAUGCCGAAUGUGCCCUUCGGGGGAAAGAUUUAUCGCCUUUAGAGCGGCCCGCGUCUGAUUAGCUAGUUGGUGAGGUAACGGCUCACCAAGGCGACGAUCAGUAGCUGGUCUGAGAGGAUGACCAGCCACACUGGGACUGAGACACGGCCCAGACUCCUACGGGAGGCAGCAGUGGGGAAUCUUGCGCAAUGAGCGAAAGCCUGACGCAGCCAUGCCGCGUGAAUGAUGAAGGUCUUAGGAUUGUAAAAUUCUUUCACCGGAGACGAUAAUGACGGUACCCGGAGAAGAAGCCCCGGCUAACUUCGUG
This 433-nucleotide ribosomal RNA is filed under the name uncultured bacterium. Its description in RNAcentral is "partial 16S ribosomal RNA". It matches the Rfam family "Bacterial small subunit ribosomal RNA", at positions 29 to 507 of the family's 1533-position model. The record is from RNAcentral.